CAGCAGCCGCGGGAAUACGUAGGGUGCGAGCGUUAAUCGGAAUUACUGGGCGUAAAGCGUGCGCAGGCGGUUAUACAAGACAGAUGUGAAAUCCCCGGGCUCAACCUGGGACCUGCAUUUGUGACUGUAUAGCUAGAGUACGGUAGAGGGGGAUGGAAUUCCGCGUGUAGCAGUGAAAUGCGUAGAUAUGCGGAGGAACACCGAUGGCGAAGGCAAUCCCCUGGACCUGUACUGACGCUCAUGCACGAAAGCGUGGGGAGCAAACAGGAUUAGAUACCCGUGUAGUCCCUGUCUCUUAUAC
This 301-nucleotide ribosomal RNA is filed under the name uncultured bacterium. RNAcentral describes it as "partial 16S ribosomal RNA". It matches the Rfam family "Bacterial small subunit ribosomal RNA", at positions 509 to 807 of the family's 1533-position model. The record is from RNAcentral.